Molecule: small nuclear RNA, 113 nt
Organism: Echeneis naucrates (live sharksucker)
Lineage: Eukaryota; Metazoa; Chordata; Actinopteri; Carangiformes; Echeneidae
Gene: U5
Rfam family: U5 spliceosomal RNA
About the family: U5 RNA is a component of both types of known spliceosome. The precise function of this molecule is unknown, though it is known that the 5' loop is required for splice site selection and p220 binding, and that both the 3' stem-loop and the Sm site are important for Sm protein binding and cap methylation.
Source: Ensembl
GACUCUGGAUUCUCUUCAAAUCGUAUAAAUCUUUCGCCUUUUACUAAAGAUUUCCGUGGAGAGGAACAGCAAGAGAUACCGACAAUUUUUCACGUCCUGCUUGAAUGCAGGGU